This 435-nucleotide ribosomal RNA is filed under the name uncultured bacterium. Its description in RNAcentral is "bacterial SSU rRNA". It matches the Rfam family "Bacterial small subunit ribosomal RNA", at positions 346 to 793 of the family's 1533-position model. The record is from RNAcentral.
AGGCAGCAGUAGGGAAUAUUGCACAAUGGGCGCAAGCCUGAUGCAGCGACGCCGCGUGAGGGAUGACGGCCUUCGGGUUGUAAACCUCUUUCAAUAGGGACGAAGCGCAAGUGACGGUACCUAUAGAAGAAGCACCGGCCAACUACGUGCCAGCAGCCGCGGUAAUACGUAGGGUGCGAGCGUUGUCCGGAAUUACUGGGCGUAAAGAGCUCGUAGGUGGUUUGUCGCGUUGUUCGUGAAAACUCACAGCUUAACUGUGGGCGUGCGGGCGAUACGGGCAGACUGGAGUACUGCAGGGGAGACUGGAAUUCCUGGUGUAGCGGUGGAAUGCGCAGAUAUCAGGAGGAACACCGGUGGCGAAGGCGGGUCUCUGGGCAGUAACUGACGCUGAGGAGCGAAAGCGUGGGGAGCAAACAGGAUUAGAUACCCCGGUAG